ACAGGCGCUAAUACCGCAUAAGCGCAUACAGCCGCAUGGCAGUAUGCGGAAAGCUCCGGCGGCACGGGAUGGGCCCGCGCCCGAUUAGCCAGUUGGCGGGGUAACGGCCCACCAAAGCGACGAUCGGUAGCCGGCCUGAGAGGGCGGACGGCCACAUUGGGACUGAGACACGGCCCAAACUCCUACGGGAGGCAGCAGUGGGGAAUAUUGCACAAUGGGGGAAACCCUGAUGCAGCAACGCCGCGUGGGUGAAGGAGCGUUUCGGCGCGUAAAGCCCUGUCAGCGGGGAAGAAGAAAGACGGUACCCGACCAAGAAGCCCCGGCUAACUACGUGCCAGCAGCCGCGGUAAUACGUAGGGGGCGAGCGUUAUCCGGAAUUACUGGGUGUAAAGGGAGCGUAGACGGCGAGGUAAGCCUGAAGUGGAAGCCCGCGGCCCAACCGCGGAACUGCUUUGGGAACUGUUUUGCUGGAGUAUGGGAGGGGUAAGCGGAAUUCCUGGUGUAGCGGUGAAAUGCGUAGAUAUCAGGAGGAACACCGGUGGCGAAGGCGGCUUACUGGACCAUAACUGACGUUGAGGCUCGAAAGCGUGGGGA
This 594-nucleotide ribosomal RNA is filed under the name uncultured bacterium. RNAcentral's name for it is "bacterial SSU rRNA". It matches the Rfam family "Bacterial small subunit ribosomal RNA", at positions 156 to 767 of the family's 1533-position model. The record is from RNAcentral.